RNAcentral lists this ribosomal RNA (587 nucleotides) under uncultured Bacillota bacterium. RNAcentral's name for it is "bacterial SSU rRNA". It matches the Rfam family "Bacterial small subunit ribosomal RNA", at positions 242 to 856 of the family's 1533-position model. Lineage: Bacteria; Bacillati; Bacillota. The record is from RNAcentral.
UAGCCAGCUGGCGGGGUAACGGCCCACCAGGGCGACGAUCGGUAGCCGGCCUGAGAGGGCGGACGGCCACAUUGGGACUGAGACACGGCCCAGACUCCUACGGGAGGCAGCAGUGGGGGAUAUUGCACAAUGGGGGAAACCCUGAUGCAGCGACGCCGCGUGGGUGAAGAAGUAUUUCGGUAUGUAAAGCCCUAUCGACGGGGACGAUAAUGACGGUACCCGAGUAAGAAGCCACGGCUAACUACGUGCCAGCAGCCGCGGUAAUACGUAGGUGGCGAGCGUUGUCCGGAAUUAUUGGGCGUAAAGGGAGCGCAGGUGGGAGAGUAAGUCAGUCUUAAAAGUGCGGGGCUCAACCCCGUGAUGGGAUUGAAACUAUUUUUCUUGAGUGCAGGAGAGGAAAGCGGAAUUCCUAGUGUAGCAGUGAAAUGCGUAGAUAUUAGGAGGAACACCAGUGGCGAAGGCGGCUUUCUGGACUGUAACUGACACUGAGGCUCGAAAGCGUGGGGAGCGAACAGGAUUAGAUACCCUGGUAGUCCAGAAUUCGGCUUAGAGUUUGAUCCUGGCUCAGGAUUAGAUACCCUGGUAGU